GCGGGGAACUAACAUAUCAAUAAGCGGAGGAAAAGAAACUAACAAGGAUUCCCCUAGUAACUGCGAGUGAAGCGGGAAAAGCUCAAAUUUAAAAUCUGGUGGUCUUUGGCCAUCCGAGUUGUAAUUUAGAGAAGCGUCUUCCGCGCUGGACCAUGCACAAGUCUCCUGGAAUGGAGCGUCAUAGAGGGUGAGAAUCCCGUCUUUGGCAUGGACCCCCAGGGCUUCUGUGAUGCGCUCUCGAAGAGUCGAGUUGUUUGGGAAUGCAGCUCAAAAUGGGUGGUGAACUCCAUCUAAAGCUAAAUAUUGGCGAGAGACCGAUAGCGAACAAGUACCGUGAGGGAAAGAUGAAAAGCACUUUGGAAAGAGAGUGAAACAGUACGUGAAAUUGUUGAAAGGGAAACGCUUGAAGUCAGUCGCGUCGACCGAGACUCAGCCUUGCCUUGGCUUGGUGUACUUCUCGGCUGACGGGUCAGCAUCAAUUUUGAUCCUUGGAUAAUGGCAAGGGAAAGGUGGCACCUUUACAGGUGUGUUAUAGUCCUCUGUCGUAUGCAAGGGUUUGGAUUGAGGAACUCAGCACGCACCUCAUCGGUGUCGGGGCCGCUUGGCCCACGUUACGUGCUUAGGAUGCUGGCAUAAUGGCUUUAAACGACCCGUCUUGAAACACGGACCAAGGAGUCUAACGUGCACGCAAGUGUUCGGGUGGAAAACCCGUGCGCGUAAUGAAAGUAAAAGUUGGGACCUCUGUCGUGGAGGGCACCGACGCCCGGACCAGACCUUCUGUGACGGCUCUGCGGUAGAGCGUGUAUGUUGGGACCCGAAAGAUGGUGAACUAUGCCUGAAUAGGGUGAAGCCAGAGGAAACUCUGGUGGAGGCUCGUAGCGAUUCUGACGUGCAAAUCGAUCGUCAAAUUUGGGUAUAGGGGCGAAAGACUAAUCGAACCAUCUAGUAGCUGGUUCCUGCCGAAUUUCCCCUUCAGGA
Molecule: ribosomal RNA, 978 nt
Filed under: Russula sp.
Lineage: Eukaryota; Fungi; Basidiomycota; Agaricomycetes; Russulales; Russulaceae
Description: partial 28S large subunit ribosomal RNA
Rfam family: Eukaryotic large subunit ribosomal RNA
Source: RNAcentral